AUUUCAUAUUUGUAAUAGACUGUGUCGUAACGUUGCACCGUGUGCAGUAAAAUUCCAAUUUGCAAGUGCAAUUAUAUUAGGAAACAAAUUGAACUAAAGGAAUUCAGAAUAUUUCAACCGCCUCAUAGAUAAACAUUAAUUUCUGUGAAUUUCUAGUGCUAACUAAUAUUAUAGACAAUAAUUGGUGAUCAUGAUAAUCAUAAUCUCAGCGAUGAUGUAAUCAGUAAAGAUAAUUAUGACACGGUAAAAUAUUUGCCAAAGUCCACCAGUAAAAUCGAAACAUUAAUGAAUUAUCGUAGAUUCAUGGAUCAUUCCACCAUUGGACUUCUCCACGGCCAAAGAUAAUAAAUAUUAAAUUAUUAAUAAAGUAGAUGGCAGCUGUCAAGUAGAAAACGAUGUGCCACUGACUGACGUUGUUCUGAAAAGGGAGGUCAAAGGGCUUACCUCAUCUGUGAUGAUCACACCUGCGAUGAGAGGAGAAACAAUGGCGACCACGGCAGCCACACAGUUCGUUAUGGCUAUCAUACUGCCGGCAUUAUUUGGAC
This is a long non-coding RNA of Cephus cinctus (wheat stem sawfly), 545 nucleotides long. RefSeq lists it as uncharacterized. The record is from RefSeq and is a predicted model, not a curated record. The transcript is spliced from 3 exons. NCBI's taxonomy places the organism in Eukaryota, Metazoa, Arthropoda, Insecta, Hymenoptera, Cephidae.